AACGAACGCUGGCGGCAUGCCUAACACAUGCAAGUCGAACGAGACCUUCGGGUCUAGUGGCGCACGGGUGCGUAACGCGUGGGAACCUGCCCUUAGGUUCGGAAUAACUCCCCGAAAGGGGUGCUAAUACCGGAUAAUGUCUUCGGACCAAAGAUUUAUCGACGUUGGAUGGGCCAGCGUUGGAUUAGCUAGUUGUUAGGGUAAAAGCCUACCAAGGCGACGAUCCAUAGCUGGUCUGAGAGGAUGAUCAGCCACACUGGGACUGAGACACGGCCCAGACUCCUACGGGAGGCAGCAGUGGGGAAUAUUGGACAAUGGGCGGAAGCCUGAUCCAGCAAUGCCGCGUGAGUUAUGAAGGCCUUAGGGUUGUAAAGCUCUUUUACCCGUGAUGAUAAUGACAGUACCGGGAGAAUAAGCGCCGGCUAACUCCGUG
Molecule: ribosomal RNA, 433 nt
Filed under: uncultured bacterium
Lineage: Bacteria
Description: partial 16S ribosomal RNA
Rfam family: Bacterial small subunit ribosomal RNA
Source: RNAcentral